Molecule: ribosomal RNA, 252 nt
Filed under: uncultured bacterium
Lineage: Bacteria
Description: partial 16S ribosomal RNA
Rfam family: Bacterial small subunit ribosomal RNA
Source: RNAcentral
UACGUAGGUGGCAAGUGUUGUCCGGAUUUAUUGGGCGUAAAGCGAGCGCAGGUGGUUUAUUAAGUCUGGUGUAAAAGGCAGUGGCUCAACCAUUGUAUGCAUUGGAAACUGGUAGACUUGAGUGCAGGAGAGGAGAGUGGAAUUCCAUGUGUAGCGGUGAAAUGCGUAGAUAUAUGGAGGAACACCGGUGGCGAAAGCGGCUCUCUGGCCUGUAACUGACACUGAGGCUCGAAAGCGUGGGGAGCAAACAGG